GCCGCGUGUGUGAAGAAGGCCUUUGGGUUGUAAAGCUCUUUUGCGGGGAAGAUAAUGACUGUUCCCGAAUAAGAAGGUCCGGCUUAUUUCGUGCCAACAGCCGCGGU
Molecule: ribosomal RNA, 107 nt
Filed under: uncultured Alphaproteobacteria bacterium
Lineage: Bacteria; Pseudomonadati; Pseudomonadota; Alphaproteobacteria
Description: partial 16S ribosomal RNA
Rfam family: Bacterial small subunit ribosomal RNA
Source: RNAcentral